This is a long non-coding RNA of Engraulis encrasicolus (European anchovy), 817 nucleotides long. RefSeq lists it as uncharacterized. The record is from RefSeq and is a predicted model, not a curated record. The transcript has 3 exons. Lineage: Eukaryota; Metazoa; Chordata; Actinopteri; Clupeiformes; Engraulidae.
UUUUGAUGCUGUCGAGGGUAGCGUGGGCACACCGCUCUCUCUGUCCCUCUGUUUGUGGUUGAGCCACCGUACAGGAAAGCCCUGUCCAUCGGCGGCUGGCGUGGGGUCGGCUGCUGUUCUGGGAUGGUGUGCUGAGCUGGGCAAACUCAAGUGUCGCUGGUGAUGUUCUUCCACUGUGUCCUUUGGGGUUGACUGCUUGCGUGCCGCUUCGAGAGAACCAGAGGUAAUGCCGGCAUUUUCUGUAAGAGUCUCGACGCUUAGCUCUUGACUUGUGUAGGGAGUUGUGCAUUUCCACAAUACACAACUCCUGUUUAAUCGAUUUAUAAUGCCGUGCCUAAUGGUAACUUUCUCGUUAAAUGUACAUAGGAGGAGAUGGUGCCUUCGACUACACUGAUGCAGUGUCAUUAGAGAAGGGGGGCAUCACUGUUCUUUUCCCAACCUUUUGUUUUGUUUUGUCCUAUUGUGUGAGUGAUUCAUCCUGUGCAACCUUUUCACUUUGACGUCCGAGACGAAGGGGCUUGUGUAAGUUUCACUCUAACAUCCGAGACGAAGGGGCUCGUGUAAGUUUCUACUUAGUAACCGCCAAGACGGAGCUUGUGUAUAUGAUUAGGGUAUGAACACUGAAGUAUUACUGGGAGACGUAUCUUAGAUCUCAGACUUCUUUUGGAACCUAUACUUGCUGUAGGGGGAGACCAAAGACGUGUGUCUAACAGGCUUGUGUGUGUGUGUGGUGGCCAUUACCAAUUUUGCCCUUUUGGCAGUUUGUUUUCUUUUGUACAAUUUGAUUUACUAACUUUGUUUGCCGUGCAAUUUUUGU